GGGGACGACUGGUUUUGACUGCAAGGUCAAUUAAGGUAUAAGCAUGUCGAGUAAUGAAAUAGCACUCGUAAAUCUCAAUUUCAAAAAUUUAAACGGCGAAGA
This 102-nucleotide transfer-messenger RNA is filed under the name Lutibacter sp. RNAcentral's name for it is "partial transfer-messenger RNA". It matches the Rfam family "transfer-messenger RNA", at positions 1 to 102 of the family's 374-position model. Rfam says of the family: Bacterial tmRNA, also known as 10Sa RNA or SsrA, is named for its dual tRNA and mRNA-like properties. Its role is to liberate the mRNA from a stalled ribosome. To accomplish this part of the tmRNA is used as a reading frame that ends in a translation stop signal. The record is from RNAcentral. Lineage: Bacteria; Pseudomonadati; Bacteroidota; Flavobacteriia; Flavobacteriales; Flavobacteriaceae.